GCGUCCAUCGUCUAAUCAGGUUAGGACAUGAGUUUUUCAAGCUUAGAAUGGGGGUUCAAAUCCCCUUGGACGUA
RNAcentral lists this transfer RNA (74 nucleotides) under Blastocladiella emersonii. RNAcentral's name for it is "tRNA-Glu". It matches the Rfam family "tRNA". From Rfam's summary of the family: Transfer RNA (tRNA) molecules are approximately 80 nucleotides in length. Their secondary structure includes four short double-helical elements and three loops (D, anti-codon, and T loops). The record is from RNAcentral. RNAcentral also lists the same sequence under 1 other name. Lineage: Eukaryota; Fungi; Blastocladiomycota; Blastocladiomycetes; Blastocladiales; Blastocladiaceae.